Molecule: RNA transcript, 916 nt
Organism: Phragmites australis (common reed)
Lineage: Eukaryota; Viridiplantae; Streptophyta; Magnoliopsida; Poales; Poaceae
Gene name: leucine-rich repeat extensin-like protein 3
Exons: 2
Source: RefSeq, a predicted model, not a curated record
GGAAUUGGAAAGGGCUAGUUUUUUCAGAAUUAACAUCGGAAAUUUUCAGCAUCGAAAUCAUCGUAGUAGUUUUCUGAUGAAAUCGGCAUCGACUAGCCGGAGUAGCUGAGUUUGAAAAUUAUCCGAAUGGUCCUGGCGGCCGAGCCCAGUCCAUGCCUCCAUGGCAGUUCUACUCCCCAGCCGCGAAGUGCCCAACCGGCCGAUCCUAGCCGCCAUUAUGUCUUCGGCAUUCACGUCUCACAUCGCUUCGGCACGGUGGCACUUCCCGUCCUCGUCGCUUCAGCGCCGCCCGUCCUCAUCGCUCCGGCGCCGCCUGUCCUCGUCGUGCCGGCGCCGACCGUCCUCGCCCCGCAGGCACCGCCCCCCCCCCCCCCCCCGGUCCUCGUCGCUCCGGUGCCGCCUGGCCUCAUCACGUCGGCGCCACCCGUCCUCGUACCGAAGGCGCCGUCAAUCCUUGCCAGUCGUCACGUUGGCGCCGCCCGUCCUCGUCGCACCAGCGCCUCCCAUAGCCGCUGAUUUGUGAUGGAAUUAGGGAGCGGAGGUGCUGGAAGUUCAAAUGCAAGCAUGGUGGCAUCAUCUCUGGCUAUUCCUAUGAUGGCGCCCUUUGAUCUGGCCUGGGUUGAUCCUACUGCAACUAAAAGAAUAGAAGUUGAGUGCUGAAUUUGAGAACACUGCUGCAGAUCCUACCGCAAAGAGACACAAGAAGUGCAGCUCUAGAGUUUGGGAAGACUUCAUCACGUAUGAGGUUAAGAAGAAAGGUCCAAAUAGGGAUGAAAGCGGUAUAGGAAUAUCCCGUCCCGCAACUGUUUUCUGUUUUUCUGGAUCAUUUUCAUUUUCCCGAUUCUUACGCAGGAACGGGACAGAAACAGGAUGAUGACGUUCAAAAAUAUGGUCAAAAACGAUUGAGGCCUCAUCC